Molecule: ribosomal RNA, 253 nt
Filed under: uncultured bacterium
Lineage: Bacteria
Description: partial 16S ribosomal RNA
Rfam family: Bacterial small subunit ribosomal RNA
Source: RNAcentral
UACGGGGGGGGCAAGCGUUGUUCGGAAUUACUGGGCGUAAAGGGCGCGUAGGCGGCUUGCUAAGUUGGAUGUGAAAACUCUGGGCUUAACCCAGAGCCUGCAUUCAAUACUGGCAGGCUAGAGUUCUGGAGGGGAUAGCGGAAUUCCUGGUGUAGCGGUGAAAUGCGUAGAUAUCAGGAGGAACACCGGUGGCGAAGGCGGCUAUCUGGACAGAGUCUGACGCUGAGGCGCGAAAGCUAGGGGAGCAAACAGG